Molecule: ribosomal RNA, 400 nt
Filed under: uncultured bacterium
Lineage: Bacteria
Description: bacterial SSU rRNA
Rfam family: Bacterial small subunit ribosomal RNA
Source: RNAcentral
UGAGGAAUAUUGGACAAUGGAUGGAAAUCUGAUCCAGCCAUGCCGCGUGAAGGACGACGGUCCUAUGGAUUGUAAACUUCUUUUGUAUGGGAGCAAUAAGGUCUACGUGUAGAUCGAUGAGAGUACCAUACGAAUAAGCAUCGGCUAACUCCGUGCCAGCAGCCGCGGUAAUACGGAGGAUGCGAGCGUUAUCCGGAUUUAUUGGGUUUAAAGGGUGCGUAGGCGGUUGUAUAAGUCAGCGGUGAAAUUUUCCGGCUUAACCGGGAGACUGCCGUUGAUACUGUAUAGCUUGAAUACGGUUGCUGUGAGUGGAAUGUGUGGUGUAGCGGUGAAAUGCAUAGAUAUCACACAGAAUAUCGAUUGCGAAGGCAGCUCACAAAGCCGUUAUUGACGCUGAUGC